Molecule: ribosomal RNA, 460 nt
Filed under: uncultured bacterium
Lineage: Bacteria
Description: partial 16S ribosomal RNA
Rfam family: Bacterial small subunit ribosomal RNA
Source: RNAcentral
CCUACGGGGUGCAGCAGUGAGGAAUAUUGGUCAAUGGACGAGAGUCUGAACCAGCCAAGUAGCGUGAAGGAUGACUGCCCUAUGGGUUGUAAACUUCUUUUAUAUGGGAAUAAAACGUUCCACGUGUGGGAUUUUGUAUGUACCAUAUGAAUAAGGAUCGGCUAACUCCGUGCCAGCAGCCGCGGUAAUACGGAGGAUCCGAGCGUUAUCCGGAUUUAUUGGGUUUAAAGGGAGCGUAGGUGGAUUGUUAAGUCAGUUGUGAAAGUUUGAGGCUCAACCGUAAAAUUGCAGUUGAAACUGGCAGUCUUGAGUACAGUAGAGGUGUGCGGAAUUCGUGGUGUAGCGGUGAAAUGCUUAGAUAUCACGAAGAACUCCGAUUGCGAAGGCAGUUCACUGGACUGCAACUGACACUGAGGCUCGAAAGUGUGGGUAUCAAACAGGAUUAGAUACCCGAGUAGUC